CCUACGUGUGGCAGCAGUGCGGAAUAUUGGUCAAUGGGCGCGAGCCUGAACCAGCCAAGUAGCGUGAAGGAUGAAUGCCCUCCGGGUUGUAAACUUCUUUUAUAAAGGAAUAAAGUGAGGCACGUGUGCCUUUUUGUAUGUACUUUAUGAAUAAGGAUCGGCUAACUCCGUGCCAGCAGCCGCGGUAAUACGGAGGGUCCGAGCGUUAUCCGGAUUUAUUGGGUUUAAAGGGAGCGUAGAUGGGUUGUUAAGUCAGUUGUGAAAGUUUGCGGCUCAACCGUAAAAUUGCAAUUGAUACUGGCAGGCUUGAGUAUAGUUGAGGUAGGCAGAAUUCGUGGUGUAGCGGUGAAAUGCGUAGAGAUCACGAAGAACUCCGAUUGCGAAGGCAGCUUACUAAACUGCCACUGACAUUGAGGCGCGAAAGUGUGGGUAUCAAACAGGAUUAGAUACCCCGGUAGUC
This 460-nucleotide ribosomal RNA is filed under the name uncultured bacterium. RNAcentral's name for it is "partial 16S ribosomal RNA". It matches the Rfam family "Bacterial small subunit ribosomal RNA", at positions 338 to 795 of the family's 1533-position model. The record is from RNAcentral.